UCGUUUAUCAACUGAGCAAACAUUUAUUUGUAAGGGCUCAAUUAAAUUCAACACAUACGUAACAUAUCCCCAUAUUGGGAUGUUUUUCGAGUAUUCGCUGGAAUUUUACAGCAAGCUCAUUCAUUACCAAAUCACGUACCUUCGGGAUUUAACCGGAUAUAGCUCCUCGUUCAAAUGCCUUCGGGACAUAGCCCGGUUUUAGUAACUCACACAAUGCCUUCGGGACAUAACCCGGAUUUAAUAACUCGCACGAAUGCCUUCGGGACUUAACCCGGAUUUAGUAUCUCGCACAAAGGCCUUCGGGGCUUAACCCGAAAUUUGUAUCUCGCACAAAUGCCUUCGGAUCUUAGUCCGGAUAUAUUCACUUAGCACAAAGCCUUCGGGACUUAGCCCGGACAGCAUUCAAUUAAUCAUGCACAUCUAACAAUAAUUCAUGGCACAUUCAUAUUUCAUUUUCAUUUGCGAAACUCAAACACAAGGCACAUAUCGUCCUUGCACAUUCGGCUCAAUAGCCACACAUAGAGCAUGAUUUAAUCACAUUGUAAUUUAAG
This 551-nucleotide long non-coding RNA is filed under the name Gossypium barbadense (sea-island cotton). Its description in RNAcentral is "long non-coding RNA (GBAR_LNC021148)". The record is from RNAcentral. Lineage: Eukaryota; Viridiplantae; Streptophyta; Magnoliopsida; Malvales; Malvaceae.